ACAGACUGAAAAUGAUCCCUGGUUUCUCAGUGAUUUGGGAUCAGACAACUGUGCCCACAGUAAUGUGGUACGUUUAGCUUAUUGCGAGUGCUUCUGUGUCUGCGCAAUAAAACCCAUGUACCAACAGCC
Molecule: small nucleolar RNA, 129 nt
Organism: Takifugu rubripes (torafugu)
Lineage: Eukaryota; Metazoa; Chordata; Actinopteri; Tetraodontiformes; Tetraodontidae
Product: small nucleolar RNA ACA64
Source: Ensembl